CCUCUCAAUCAGGCACUGUUGCGUCUCCAGUGCGGUGUGAUCUGUGUUGAAGUAAUCUUUUAUGCAAUACUUGUAACAAAUAAAACUCUUCUAAAAUUACACAGAACAUGUAGCGUUUGAGACUUACAGCCAGCAUGUUAUCAUUGUGAAUAAUUUAAAGCAUCAAGUUAAAUAUAACUGCUGAUGAGAGGCAACUUAUUCGUGCUGCGGUGUUGGAGAUGCUCUGGGGUGCUGAAAGGACAGCGCUCUGAGCGCAAUUCAUUGGUGAAUUCGAGAUCCGUAAUGGGAUCGCCCGUCCCAUUUUAUUGCCAAUUCCUCGGGAUGGAGAAGACUGCAACCCGUCUGACGAAGAUGUUGCCUGACUUGCCAAGUUCCUGCAACAGCAUAUUUUCUUCUUUUAGGAUCCAACAUCUUCAGUCUCUUGUGUCUUGAAGUUAGUUGAUGCUCUUCAGAUACUGCAGAGAUACUGCACAGUAUGAACCCUUCGGGCCCAGUGACUGAUGAUAUCCAGCAACCCACCUAUUUAACCCUAACCUAAUCACAGAACAAUUUACUAUGACCAACUAACCUACCAACCGAUAUGUCUCAGGACUGGCAGAAAAGCAGAGCAUCAAGAGGAAACCAACAUGGUCAUGAGGAGAACAUACAAACUCCUUAAAGACAGCACCAAAACUAAACUGUGAACUCCACCAUCCUGAGCUGGAAUACUGUUGUGCUGACCAUUACACUACUGUAGUGAUUCAUCUCCUUGUGAGCUGUAGAUUUUCUUUAAUCUGCAAUGUGUAAUUCAAGAGAGUGGUGGCAGUCUGUGAAGCUGCAAUGAUAAUCAAGAAUCCUAUCACCAUCUCUGAAGAAUUAGUUAUCAUUAUUCAUUGGCAAUUCAGCACUCAGGAAUAUGCAUUAGGUAGUAGCAACCAGAAUCAGACUCAGAAUCAGGUUUAUCAUCACUGGCAUGUAACGUAAAAUUUGUUAAUGUAGCAGCAGUAGUUCAAUGUAAUACA
Molecule: long non-coding RNA, 1001 nt
Organism: Hypanus sabinus (Atlantic stingray)
Lineage: Eukaryota; Metazoa; Chordata; Chondrichthyes; Myliobatiformes; Dasyatidae
Exons: 4
Source: RefSeq, a predicted model, not a curated record